UCGCACAUGCUGCGACUGCUGAGCGCUUCGACCGUGUCUUUUAGAUGGAUUAUGGAUGACAAAAAAUAACAAAACACGUCAACAGUGGAUCUCCUUAGUCACUAAUACAAGGACUAACGGCCGAAGAAGAGAAAGAGAAAGGAUGUUUAUGAGGUUGAGCGGCUCAUUUCGAAACGGGAAGGAAUUGAGGAUACAGAGUAUUUGGUUUAGUGGAGUGGCUACUCCAAAUAUGAAUCCAAGUGGGAGUUGUCUGAUAACAUUUCCGAGGAUUGUAUUUGGUUGUUUGAAAACCCACAGCCAGGAAAGAAUGAAGUAGUUCAGGCAGUAGACAGCUUCAGAAUAGCAGUAGAAGG
Molecule: long non-coding RNA, 353 nt
Organism: Stylophora pistillata
Lineage: Eukaryota; Metazoa; Cnidaria; Anthozoa; Scleractinia; Pocilloporidae
Source: RefSeq, a predicted model, not a curated record